CUGCUGCCCUUUACCAGUCUUGGAGGAUCACUUGAUCAAGGAUAUUUUCACUUCUUAUCCAGAGAAGUGUGAGCAAACAGCACAUGACAAACAGCACAGAAGAGCAGCAGACAGACUGCAAAGCAGAUAAACUGUGCAAAGACUGCCUAGUCAUCCCUGGAAAAUAUUAGCUGUUCUUGCUUGGCUACAAAUUUGCUUGGUGUGUCUAAAGCGUACUCACAGGAAAUGUGGAUGGAGAUGAUAUCUGAUCAAGACAACUGCCUAAUGGAUAAAUCCAGUAUUUGGUGGGGGUGUUAGGAUCUAAAUGAGGGAGUGCCCACCACAACACAGUGUCCUCUGGCAGGUAUUUAAACACUGGUUCUGCCUUUCUGUGCUUAUACUGCUCUGAUUUUCAUACAGAAGUAUCGUGAUCUGCAAUAUCACUUUUUCUAAAUUCCUUGUAUUUCAACAAAAUAAGGGGCUAAAUUCACAUAUCAAGAAUGUCACUAGUCCACAUCAUUGUAUUUCAGGAAAGUGGUUCACUUGCAGCACAGUGAAAGAGAAUCUUCAGUCUCUCAAACAAAACAUUACAUUUUAUUCCAGUGUUUACAUAGGCAGUUAUUAAAUAAAUCUACAAGAUUUAUUUUCUUAUCUUUGAUUUUUUAAUGAACUCUACUAGGAAACAUCUCUUUUCUUUUUUCCCACACAAAUGCAAAUGGUUGUUGCAGCAAAAAUACUUUGAAUCUGUAUUGGGUUUGUAUGGGCAGGUGUUGAUAAUGUGGGGUUCAGAGGGGUGGAUUCUGUGACAAGCUUCCAAAAGCCUCCUCCAUCUCAACAGAGCCAAUCCCUGGUGGCUUGAAGAUGGAUGUGCCACUAGCCAAGGCUGGACCAAUUAGAAAUUGUGAUAAUGCCUCUGUGAUAAUAUAUAUUAAAAAAGUUAUUGUGUAGUUGUAAUUGUGUCCAGGGAAAAGUGGGAUGAGAAAAUGUGAGAGGAGCAGCCCUGCAGACACCAAGAUCAGUGAGGAAGGAGGGGCAGGAGGUGCUCCAGAUAGCUGAGAUUCCCUGCAGCCUGUGGUGUAUCCCAUGGUGAAGCAGCUGUGCCCCUGCAGUCCAUGGAGGACCAUGGGGAUUCAGAUAUCCACCCACUGGAGGAGCCACUGGUGGAGCCUCAUGCCGGAGCAGGUGGAUGCCUGAGAUGAGGCUGUGACUCUGUGGGGGCUCCUCUCUGGAUCAGGCUCCUGGAAAGUUUCCUGUGGACCUGUGGAGAGAGGAGCCCACACUGGAUCAGAUUUCCUGGCAGGACCCUGUGGGGGACCCACACUGGAGCAGGCUGUGCCUGAAGGAGUGCACAUCGUGGAAGGGUGACCCACAUUGCAGCAAUUUGGGGAGGAAUGUCACCAAUAGGAUGGACUCAUGCUGGAGGAGUUAAUGGAGAGCUGUCUUCCGUGGGAGAGACCCCAUGUUAGAGCAGGGGAAGGACUCAUCUCUGAGCAGUGGCUGGAACAAUGUGUGGUCCCUGACCAUAACUCCCAUUCCCAUGUCCCUGCACUGCCUGGGGGAGGAGGUAGAGCUGGGAAGGAGGGAGGGGUAGAGGAAAGGUGUUUUUAAGGUCUUGCUUAACUUCUUAUUAUCCUGCUCUACUUUUGUUAGUAAUAAAUUCAAUUAAUGUCGCUAAUUCAAAUGUUUUUCCUGUGACAGUAUUUGGUGAGUGCUCUCUCCCGGUCCUUAUGUCAACCCAUGAACCCAUGAACCCCUUUUUAUAUUUUCUCUCCCCUGCCCAGUUGCAGAGGGAAGUGACAGAAUAUCUUUGGUUGGUUCCUGGCAUCCAGACAGGGUCAACCCACUACACUAUAUGGAAAGUUUAACAGACCUAAAAAGUAUUUGAAACUAAAGUGGGUUUGCAGUUUUUAAUCAGCACCUCAUUUUUUAAAAGGUUUUUCUACAAACACCUAUACAAAUGUCACCUUGCAAUCAAGAAAUAUGAAUGCAUCAGAAACUGUGUUCUGAAAUUUUAAUUUAUAAAACAGAGAAAUACAAAUGACUGUAAGAUUGAUGGAGGUACAAUAAAGAUGGAAAUAACUAUUCGUGUAAACAUUGUAAGUUCAAGAAGACGUACCGUGAAAAAUUAUUAAGAUUUUGCACUCCUUGCACUCUACAAAUUUCAAAGUGGUAAUGUCAUCAA
Corvus hawaiiensis (hawaiian crow) is the source of this 2161-nucleotide long non-coding RNA. RefSeq lists it as uncharacterized. The record is from RefSeq and is a predicted model, not a curated record. Lineage: Eukaryota; Metazoa; Chordata; Aves; Passeriformes; Corvidae. The transcript has 4 exons.